GUAACAAGGUUUCCGUAGGUGAACCUGCGGAAGGAUCAUUACUGAGUGGCUGUAUUCGUGCUUCUCUUCGGAGACGCGAAGCUACCCGACCUGAUGUCAUUUUAUCCGAGGGCGCGCCCGCUUGAGAAGACAGCGGUUUGACGUUGUGGUGUUACCCGGACGAGGCGCUUGUCUCGUAAGGGGAAGCUUCCGGGUCGGGCCGUGGCGCGUUCCUUGGCACAACUUUCCGCGGAAGUGGUAGGCGUUGACUUGCCCGCCGCGGGCCAUACUUUUCACAACUCUCGAAGAAAACCUGAAGUCUGAAUACCAAAACAAAAACGAAAAGCAAAACUUUCAACAACGGAUCUCUUGGCUCUGGCAACGAUGAAGAACGCAGCGAAACGCGAAAGGUAAUGCGAAUUGCAGAAUCAGUGAGUCAUCGAAUCUUUGAACGCACAUUGCGCCUCUCGGUAUUCCGGGAGGCACGCCUGUUCGAGCGCCAUUACAAACUCCAAGCGUGGCUUGAUGUUGGGCGAUGUCUUUUUGCGAGAGCGGGAGACACGCCUGGAACGCGUUGGCGCCGCCGCCGGACCACGAGCGUAGCAAGACGAGAGUCAAUCGCAUCGAUUUGGUUUCCGACGGAGGUCCGCCUUGUGACUGCACUUUCGAGUGUAGUUGAAAAACUUCUCAAGUUUGGCCUCGGAUCAGGCG
This 690-nucleotide unclassified non-coding RNA is filed under the name Scolecobasidium musae. RNAcentral describes it as "Ochroconis musae sequence contains 18S rRNA gene, ITS1, 5.8S rRNA gene, ITS2, 28S rRNA gene". The stretch from base 329 to 481 matches the Rfam family "5.8S ribosomal RNA". Lineage: Eukaryota; Fungi; Ascomycota; Dothideomycetes; Venturiales; Sympoventuriaceae. The record is from RNAcentral.